This 446-nucleotide ribosomal RNA is filed under the name uncultured Anaerolineaceae bacterium. Its description in RNAcentral is "bacterial SSU rRNA". It matches the Rfam family "Bacterial small subunit ribosomal RNA", at positions 923 to 1382 of the family's 1533-position model. Lineage: Bacteria; Bacillati; Chloroflexota; Anaerolineae; Anaerolineales; Anaerolineaceae. The record is from RNAcentral.
GCACAAGCAGCGGAGCGUGUGGUUUAAUUCGAUGUUACACGAAGAACCUUACCAGGGUUUGACAUGCAAGUGGUAGGAAACCGAAAGGUGACCGACCCUUCGGGGAGCUUGCACAGGUGCUGCAUGGCUGUCGUCAGCUCGUGUCGUGAGAUGUUCGGUUAAGUCCGCUAACGAGCGCAACCCUCGUCGUAUGUUAUAUGUGUCAUACGAGACUGCCGGUAAAAAGCCGGAGGAAGGUGAGGAUGAUGUCAAGUCAGCAUGACCUUUAUAUCCAGGGCUACACACACGCUACAAUGGUCUGUACAAUGGGUAGCCAAGCCGCGAGGCGGAGCCAAUCCUGAGAGCAGGCCUCAGUUCAGAUUGCAGUCUGCAACUCGACUGCAUGAAGCCGGAGUUGCUAGUAACCGCAGGUCAGCAAUACUGCGGUGAAUACGUUCCCGGAUCUU